RNAcentral lists this ribosomal RNA (1426 nucleotides) under uncultured bacterium. Its description in RNAcentral is "bacterial SSU rRNA". It matches the Rfam family "Bacterial small subunit ribosomal RNA". The record is from RNAcentral.
CCAUGGGUGUAGCAAUACACCGGAAGAUUUAGUGGCGAACGGGUGAGGAUCACGUGAGAAACGUGCCCCAGACUCUGGGAUAACAAUUGGAAACGAUUGCUAAUACCGGAUGACGUCGGAGAAUCGCAUGAUUCGCUGACGAAAGAUAUUUCGGUUUGGGAGCGUCUCGCGGCCUAUCAGCUUGUUGGUGGGGUAAUGGCCUACCAAGGCAACGACGGGUAGCUGGUCUGAGAGGAUGACCAGCCACACUGGGACUGAGACACGGCCCAGACUCCUACGGGAGGCAGCAGUGGGGAAUUUUGGACAAUGGGGGCAACCCUGAUCCAGCAAUGCCGCGUGUGUGAAGAAGGCCUUCGGGUUGUAAAGCACUUUUGUCAGGAACGAAACGGUGGAGGCUAAUACCUUCUGCUAAUGACGGUACCUGAAGAAUAAGCACCGGCUAACUACGUGCCAGCAGCCGCGGUAAUACGUAGGGUGCAAGCGUUGUCCGGAAUUAUUGGGCGUAAAGAGCUCGUAGGUGGUUUGUUACGUCGGUUGUGAAAUUCAGGGGCUCAACCCCUGACUUGCAGCCGAUACGGGCAAGCUAGAGUUUGGUAGAGGAGACUGGAAUUCCUGGUGUAGCGGUGGAAUGCGCAGAUAUCAGGAGGAACACCGAUGGCGAAGGCAGGUCUCUGGGCCAAUACUGACACUGAGGAGCGAAAGCGUGGGGAGCGAACAGGAUUAGAUACCCUGGUAGUCCACGCCGUAAACGGUGGGCGCUAGUUGUGCGAACCUUCCACGGUUUGUGCGACGCAGCUAACGCAUUAAGCGCCCCGCCUGGGGAGUACGAUCGCAAGAUUAAAACUCAAAGGAAUUGACGGGGCCCCGCACAAGCAGCGGAGCAUGCGGCUUAAUUCGACGCAACGCGAAGAACCUUACCAAGGCUUGACAUAUACAGGAAUAUGGCAGAGAUGUCAUAGCCGCAAGGUCUGUAUACAGGUGGUGCAUGGUUGUCAUCAGCUCGUGUCGUGAGAUGUUGGGUUAAGUCCCGCAACGAGCGCAACCCUCGUUCUGUGUUGCCAGCAUUUAGUUGGGGACUCACAGGAGACUGCCGGGGUUAACUCGGAGGAAGGUGGGGAUGACGUCAAAUCAUCAUGCCCCUUAUGUCUUGGGCUGCACGCAUGCUACAAUGGCUGGUACAAACGGCUGCGAUACCGCAAGGUGGAGCGAAUCCGAUAAAGCCAGUCUCAGUUCGGAUUGGGGUCUGCAACUCGACCCCAUGAAGUCGGAGUUGCUAGUAAUCGUAGAUCAGCAACGCUACGGUGAAUACGUUCCCGGGGCUUGUACACACCGCCCGUCACAUCACGAAAGUCGGUAACACCCAAAGUCAGUGGCCCAACCGCAAGGAGGGAGCUGCCAAAGGUGGGAUCGGUGAUUGGGAUGAAGU